CCCCGAUAUUUUCCUUCUGGUUUUGAAACAUUAAAUUCAAUAUAGUUUCCGUUAUCAUCUUCUCCUAAUUGUAUUUGAGAAAUUUGCAGAUUACGGUGUUCGUCACGGCCACGUAGACCAAAAUAUUUACAGUUGUAGAAAAAAACAGUAUGCAAUAAACUUUCGGAUGAAUGAUUACCAAACACAGACUUGUCCCACAAUAUUUCUUCCUGUUCAACUGAAUUGGAUCUGCUUGUUUAACAUUUAUACCAUACCCAUCUGAUGUUAAUUUCUUCAUCUGUGCAUCAAUUAUUUGUCUAAACCUCAGAAAUCUGUCAUCAGACUCGUUCAAAAAGUUAAGAUUAGAAACACCGUGUGACGCAUUCCUCUUAGAAGUCCAGUUACAAGAAGAUAAAGUGUUUUCGCUGGAUAUUUCUCUCCAUUUUUUUCCCGAACUUCUACUACAAAGUUUCCUAAAA
Molecule: long non-coding RNA, 458 nt
Filed under: Mytilus galloprovincialis (Mediterranean mussel)
Lineage: Eukaryota; Metazoa; Mollusca; Bivalvia; Mytilida; Mytilidae
Source: RNAcentral